GUUUCCCUGUAGCACGAUGGAUAGCGCAUUGAAUUUCUAAUCCAAAGAUCGUGGGUUCGAAUCCCAACUGAAAUU
Molecule: non-coding RNA, 75 nt
Organism: Trichonephila clavipes
Lineage: Eukaryota; Metazoa; Arthropoda; Arachnida; Araneae; Nephilidae
Source: the annotation of a GenBank genome assembly